AUGGCGCUCGGUGGUCUGUUCGGCACGGCGGCGGUGGCCGUGGUCGUGUCGCUGGCGGUCCACGUCGCGCUCAACUGCCCCAUCCAGCCGAUCCCGUCGACGCGGCCGCCCGCCGCGCGCUACCCGCCUAAUAACCUCCUCCAGGGGCUGGAGAAGCUGGGGGAAGGGCAGCUGAGCGCGCCGGAGGACGUGUACGUGGACGCGGCGGCGGGAGGGACGGUGUACACGGCGACGAGGGACGGGUGGCUGCAGAGGAUGCACCCCAACGGGUCGUGGGAGCAGUGGCGGUUCGUCGGCGGCACGGGCCUGCUCGGGAUCGCGCCCUCCGCCGACGGCAGCGUGCUCGUCUGCGACGCCGACAAGGGAUUACUGAAAGUUGAGGAGGGACGUGUGACCAUUCUCGCCUCGACGGUCGAAGGUUCCACGAUCAGGUUCGCCGACGAGGCGAUCGAGGCAUCGGACGGCACGGUCUACUUCAGCGACGCCAGCACCAGGUUCGGCUUCGACCGGUGGUUCCACGCCUACGUCGAGGCACACCCCACCGGCCGCCUCCUCAAGUACGACCCCCGCACCGGCAAGGCCUCCGUGGCGCUCGACAACCUCGCCUUCGCCAACGGCGUCGCCCUGUCGAAGGACGAGGCCUUCGUCAUCGUCUGCGAGACAGGGAGGUUCAGAUGCACGAGGCUGUGGCUGAAAGGGGACAAGACCGGCCAGGCGGAGACGUUCGUCGACGACCUUCCGGGGGGUCCGGAUAACAUCCAGCUAGCGCCAGACGGCUCCUUCUGGGUCGCCCUUAUCCAGAGGUCGCCGUGGCUGGACCUGGUCAUGCGCUGGACGUUCACCAAGAGGGUCGUCGCCUCGUUCCCGGCGCUGCUCGACGCGGUCCACGCCACGGGGAAAGGGGCGAUGGUGGCGCAGGUGUCGGAGGACGGCGAGGUCCUCCGCGUGCUCGACGACACCCAAGGGAAGGUGAUCAACUUCAUCACCUCAGUGACGGAGCACGACGGUUACCUCUUCUUCGGAAGCCUCGCGACCAACUUCGUGGGCAAGCUAUCUCUGGCCAAGGUGGCACAGGCACAGGGCCAGCCGGCGGUUUCUUCCUAG
This 1104-nucleotide ribosomal RNA is filed under the name Triticum aestivum (bread wheat). Its description in RNAcentral is "partial small subunit ribosomal RNA". Lineage: Eukaryota; Viridiplantae; Streptophyta; Magnoliopsida; Poales; Poaceae. The record is from RNAcentral.